GCCAGGCAUAGUGGCAUACCCCUGUAAUCCCAGUGGCUUGGGAGGCUGAGGCAGGAGGAUCAUGAGUUUAAGGCCAGCUUUAACAAUUUAGCUAGGAGGCACUAAGCAACUCAGUGAGACCCUGUCUCUA
Molecule: small RNA, 130 nt
Filed under: Marmota monax (woodchuck)
Lineage: Eukaryota; Metazoa; Chordata; Mammalia; Rodentia; Sciuridae
Source: RNAcentral